AACGAACGCUGGCGGCAUGCCUAACACAUGCAAGUCGAACGAGACCUUCGGGUCUAGUGGCGCACGGGUGCGUAACGCGUGGGAACCUGCCCUUAGGUUCUGAAUAACUCCCCGAAAGGGGUGCUAAUACCGGAUAAUGUCUUCGGACCAAAGAUUUAUCGCCUUUGGAUGGGCCCGCGUUGGAUUAGCUAGUUGGCAGGGUAAAAGCCUACCAAGGCGACGAUCCAUAGCUGGUCUGAGAGGAUGAUCAGCCACACUGGGACUGAGACACGGCCCAGACUCCUACGGGAGGCAGCAGUGGGGAAUAUUGGACAAUGGGCGAAAGCCUGAUCCAGCAAUGCCGCGUGAGUGAUGAAGGCCUUAGGGUUGUAAAGCUCUUUUACCCGGGAUGAUAAUGACAGUACCGGGAGAAUAAGCUCCGGCUAACUCCGUG
RNAcentral lists this ribosomal RNA (433 nucleotides) under uncultured bacterium. RNAcentral describes it as "partial 16S ribosomal RNA". It matches the Rfam family "Bacterial small subunit ribosomal RNA", at positions 29 to 507 of the family's 1533-position model. The record is from RNAcentral.